GAUGAACGCUAGCUACAGGCUUAACACAUGCAAGUCGAGGGGCAGCAUGGUCUUAGCUUGCUAAGGCCGAUGGCGACCGGCGCACGGGUGAGUAACACGUAUCCAACCUGCCGUCUACUCUUGGACAGCCUUCUGAAAGGAAGAUUAAUACAAGAUGGCAUCAUGAGUUCACAUGUUCACAUGAUUAAAGGUAUCCCGGUAGACGAUGGGGAUGCGUUCCAUUAGAUAGUAGGCGGGGUAACGGCCCACCUAGUCUACGAUGGAUAGGGGUUCUGAGAGGAAGGUCCCCCACAUUGGAACUGAGACACGGUCCAAACUCCUACGGGAGGCAGCAGUGAGGAAUAUUGGUCAAUGGGCGAGAGCCUGAACCAGCCAAGUAGCGUGAAGGAUGAAGGUCCUACGGAUUGUAAACUUCUUUUAUACGGGAAUAAAGUAUCCUACGUGUAGGAUUUUGUAUGUACCGUAUGAAUAAGCAUCGGCUAACUCCGUGCCAG
This 494-nucleotide ribosomal RNA is filed under the name uncultured bacterium. Its description in RNAcentral is "bacterial SSU rRNA". It matches the Rfam family "Bacterial small subunit ribosomal RNA", at positions 28 to 511 of the family's 1533-position model. The record is from RNAcentral.